Molecule: non-coding RNA, 20 nt
Filed under: Rattus norvegicus (Norway rat)
Lineage: Eukaryota; Metazoa; Chordata; Mammalia; Rodentia; Muridae
Source: RNAcentral
UGUUUUUUGGUCUCUGUGUG